RNAcentral lists this ribosomal RNA (253 nucleotides) under uncultured bacterium. RNAcentral's name for it is "partial 16S ribosomal RNA". It matches the Rfam family "Bacterial small subunit ribosomal RNA", at positions 524 to 776 of the family's 1533-position model. The record is from RNAcentral.
UACGGAGGGUGCGAGCGUUAAUCGGAAUUACUGGGCGUAAAGCGCGCGUAGGCGGUUUGGUCAGUCGAUUGUGAAAGCCCUGGGCUUAACCUGGGAAUUGCAGUCGAUACUGCCUGACUAGAAUGUGGAAGAGGGAAGUGGAAUUUCCGGUGUAGCGGUGAAAUGCGUAGAUAUCGGAAGGAACACCAGUGGCGAAGGCGGCUUCCUGGUCCAACAUUUACGCUGAGGUGCGAAAGCGUGGGGAGCGAACAGG